RNAcentral lists this long non-coding RNA (519 nucleotides) under Rhinopithecus bieti (black snub-nosed monkey). Its description in RNAcentral is "lncRNA (ENSRBIG00000045738.1)". Lineage: Eukaryota; Metazoa; Chordata; Mammalia; Primates; Cercopithecidae. The record is from RNAcentral.
AUCGGUGCAAACUACAUCGUUGGGCCAAAUCUAUGACGUCAGCAAAGCUGGGCUUCAGUCCUUGCCUCCCUUUUCCCCUGGUCAGGGUGCUCCUCCCCAAGACAGGAGGCUCCUCAUCCUUGCUCCCUUUCAAGACCACCUGCUGGGCAACCACCAUUUACUCAUUCAUGCUAAAGAGCCUGAAAAGACUAAUUUUGGAGAAUAUAUGUUGACUGUUCCAGCUGUGAGCAUGCUUCCUGCCCUCCCUCCAGGCUGCCCAGCAGUGCCACUGCUGCAAAUCCAGGGCGUACGAGUUUGUGACAUGAGGUGUCCUGCCCUGGCUUGGGGUCAGGCUGGUCCAGCUUCCCAGGACUUUCUUCCCUAACGGGUUGCUGAGAGGACGGACUGCUCACGGACAGCCGCUGAGGUGCAGAACCCACAGGCGGGGGACAGGCUCACUGCCAGCUGCCACCCAUGAAAGAAGACGUGGCUGGAAGUUGCUGUGAAAGGUGAGCAUGUUUGCACGAGAGUCAUACUGUC